GGGAUGAGCUUGCGUCCGAUUAGCUAGUUGGCGGGCAACGGCCCACCAAGGCGACGAUCGGUAGCCGGCCUGAGAGGGUGAUCGGCCACAUUGGGACUGAGAUACGGCCCAGACUCUACGGGAGGCAGCAGUAGGGAAUAUUGCACAAUGGGGGAAACCCUGAUGCAGCAACGCCACGUGUGGGAAGAAGCAUUUCGGUGUGUAAACCACUGUCGUGAGGGAAUAAAGCUGGAGUUGUCCAGUUGAAUGUACCUCGAAAGGAAGCACCGGCAAACUUCGUGCCAGCAGCCGCGGUAAUACGAGGGGUGCAAGCGUUGUUCGGAAUCACUGGGCGUAAAGGGAGCGCAGGCGGAAGUGCAAGCGGUCUGUACAAUACCGGGGCCCAACCCCGGACCUGCAGACCGGACUGCAUUUCUUGGAUAGUUCAGGGGCAAGCGGAAUUCCUGGUGUAGCGGUGGAAUGCGUAGAGAUCAGGAAGAACACCGAUGGCGAAGGCAGCUUGCUGGGGACUUAUCGACGCUCAUGCUCGAAAGUGCGGGUAGCAAACAGGAUUAGAUACCCUGGUAGUCC
Molecule: ribosomal RNA, 570 nt
Filed under: uncultured bacterium
Lineage: Bacteria
Description: bacterial SSU rRNA
Rfam family: Bacterial small subunit ribosomal RNA
Source: RNAcentral